RNAcentral lists this ribosomal RNA (118 nucleotides) under Pteropus alecto (black flying fox). The record is from RNAcentral. Lineage: Eukaryota; Metazoa; Chordata; Mammalia; Chiroptera; Pteropodidae.
GUCUACGGCCAUACCACCCUGAACAAGCCCAAUCCCAUCUGAUCUUGGAAGCUAAGCAGGGUCGGCCUAGUUAGUACUUGGAUGGGAGACCACCUAGGAAGACCAGGUGCUGCAGGCA